GCGAUGUGCUGAUGUUGGGUUCUCGCGGUCUCCAUGCAGUAUUGAUGUUUGAGUCUCUGUCAUGGGCAAACAAGUUGGUCAUUUGAGCCUUUUGGUCUAACAUUAGAAUAAGCAGCUGAUCUACUUCCUUUGAUAGUCCGAUUGGCCGCAAAUCCUUAAGGUUUCCUUCCUUGAAUAUGAACCUUAAGGAUUUGCGGCCAAUCGGACUAUC
Molecule: unclassified non-coding RNA, 211 nt
Filed under: Hevea brasiliensis (rubber tree)
Lineage: Eukaryota; Viridiplantae; Streptophyta; Magnoliopsida; Malpighiales; Euphorbiaceae
Source: RNAcentral